Non-coding RNA from Caretta caretta (loggerhead turtle), 197 nucleotides. NCBI's taxonomy places the organism in Eukaryota, Metazoa, Chordata, Testudines, Cheloniidae. The record is from RefSeq and is a predicted model, not a curated record.
CUUCAUUAUCUGUUGGUCUAGAUAGAAGGUUAUAGACAUAUGUGUGAAUACUUAUUUAUUUAGGUAACAAGAUAUAGGUUAACUUUAUUUUUCUGGGUAAAUGGUCUUAAUAUAGAUGUGUUAACUGUCCUUAGCUUAACAUACAGCAUAUGGCCUUUAGGUCUCUUGCGUUACAGCCAAGCUUACUUUAAUAUAAA